RNAcentral lists this ribosomal RNA (362 nucleotides) under Pseudomonas monteilii. RNAcentral's name for it is "partial 23S ribosomal RNA". It matches the Rfam family "Bacterial large subunit ribosomal RNA", at positions 2586 to 2925 of the family's 2925-position model. Lineage: Bacteria; Pseudomonadati; Pseudomonadota; Gammaproteobacteria; Pseudomonadales; Pseudomonadaceae. The record is from RNAcentral.
AUUUAAAGUGGUACGCGAGCUGGGUUUAGAACGUCGUGAGACAGUUCGGUCCCUAUCUGCCGUGGACGUUUGAGAUUUGAGAGGGGCUGCUCCUAGUACGAGAGGACCGGAGUGGACGAACCUCUGGUGUUCCGGUUGUCACGCCAGUGGCAUUGCCGGGUAGCUAUGUUCGGAAGAGAUAACCGCUGAAAGCAUCUAAGCGGGAAACUUGCCUCAAGAUGAGAUCUCACUGGGAUCUUGAAUCCCCUGAAGGGCCGUCGAAGACUACGACGUUGAUAGGUUGGGUGUGUAAGCGCUGUGAGGCGUUGAGCUAACCAAUACUAAUUGCCCGUGAGGCUUGACCAUAUAACACCCAAGCAAUU